GGGGGAAAAAUUAAUAAUUUUAUAAAUAAUAAAAAAAUUUUUAAAUAAAAAUAAUUAAAGGGGGUUAAAGUAUUUUUAUUGAAAAAAUUAAUUAUUUUAUAGUGUAAUAGUAUUGUGAAAGAAUUUUGAAAUAAUUGAAAAUUUAAAUUAUUUAAAAGUAAUUUUAAUUUAAUGUAUCUUGUGUAUCAGAGUUUAUUAAGAAUUUUUAUUAUAUAUUAAAUUCUCGAAUUUAAAAGAGAUAAUUAAUUAAUAAAUUUAUUGUGGCAAAAAUAUUUUAAAUAAUUAAUUGGAAAUGAAAUGUUAAUCGUUUUUAAAUAUAUCUAGUUUUUUUAGAAAAAAAUUUAAUUUUAUAUUAUUUUAUAAAAUUUUUAAUUAAUUAAAAAUUUUAUAAAAUAAUUUUAUAUUUUAAGGGAUAAGCUUUAAAUUAAAUUUAUAUAAAUUUAAUUAUUAAAAAAUUGAAAAUUAUAUAAUUUAUAUUGUUAACAAAUUUUAAUUUAUUAUAAAUAAUUUCAUUAAUAAAUAAAAUUUAAAAUAAAUUUUAUAUUUUUAUAAAAAAAAAAAUUAAGAAUAAAAUUUAAUUUAAUAUAAUGAUAAAAUUAGUAUAUAUAUAUAAUAUUUAAUUUAUUAUUUUAUUUAAAAAAUAAUUAAAAGGAAUUCGGCAAAAAUUUAUAUUCACUUGUUUAUCAAAAACAUGUCUUUUUGUAAAUAAUAUAAAGUCUAAUCUGCCCACUGAUUUAAUUAUUAAAGGGCUGCAGUAUUUUGACUGUACAAAGGUAGCAUAAUCAUUAGUCAUUUAAUUGAUGACUUGUAUGAAAGAUUGGAUGAAAUAUAAACUGUCUCUUAAUUAUGAUAUAAAAUUUAAUUUUUUAGUUAAAAAGCUAAAAUUAAUUAAAAAGACGAGAAGACCCUAUAGAGUUUUAUAAAUUAUAAUUAUUAAGAUUAUUUAUAAAAUUAAUAAUUAAAAUAAUUUAAUUUAAUUUGUUGGGGUGACAAAAAAAUAAAAAUAACUUUUUUUUUAUUAGACAUAAAUAAGUGAAUAAUUGAUCCAAUAUUAUUGAUUAUAAGAAAAAAUUACCUUAGGGAUAACAGCGUAAUUUUUUUUUUUAGUUCAUAUAAAAAAAAGAGUUUGCGACCUCGAUGUUGGAUUAAGAUAAAAUUUAAAUGCAGAAGUUUAAAAUUUUUGAUCUGUUCGAUCAUUAAAAUCUUACAUGAUCUGAGUUCAAACCGGUGUGAGCCAGGUUGGUUUCUAUCUUUUAAAAUAUAAAAUAUUUUAGUACGAAAGGAUUAAAUAUUUAAAUUAAAUUUAUAUAAAUUGAAUUUUAUUAAAUUUUAUUUAAAAAUAUAGUUAAAAUAAAUAAUAUAAUAUAUAUAUAUAUAUAUAUAUAUAUUAUAUUA
This 1395-nucleotide ribosomal RNA is filed under the name Helicoverpa zea (corn earworm). RNAcentral's name for it is "16S ribosomal RNA". The stretch from base 1082 to 1241 matches the Rfam family "Eukaryotic large subunit ribosomal RNA", at positions 2825 to 2984 of the family's 3401-position model. The record is from RNAcentral. Lineage: Eukaryota; Metazoa; Arthropoda; Insecta; Lepidoptera; Noctuidae.